UUGUAUGUAGCUUAAAUAUUUAAAGCAUAGCACUGAAAAUGCUAAAAUGGUAAACCCCUCCAAC
RNAcentral lists this transfer RNA (64 nucleotides) under Bothrops diporus. Its description in RNAcentral is "tRNA-Phe". Lineage: Eukaryota; Metazoa; Chordata; Lepidosauria; Squamata; Viperidae. The record is from RNAcentral.